RNAcentral lists this ribosomal RNA (703 nucleotides) under uncultured Bacillus sp. RNAcentral's name for it is "bacterial SSU rRNA". It matches the Rfam family "Bacterial small subunit ribosomal RNA", at positions 416 to 1108 of the family's 1533-position model. Lineage: Bacteria; Bacillati; Bacillota; Bacilli; Caryophanales; Bacillaceae. The record is from RNAcentral.
UUUCGGAUCGUAAAGCUCUGUUGUCAGGGAAGAACAAGUACCAAAGUAACUGUUGGUACCUUGACGGUACCUGACCAGAAAGCCACGGCUAACUACGUGCCAGCAGCCGCGGUAAUACGUAGGUGGCAAGCGUUGUCCGGAAUUAUUGGGCGUAAAGCGCGCGCAGGCGGCUUCUUAAGUCUGAUGUGAAAGCCCACGGCUCAACCGUGGAGGGUCAUUGGAAACUGGGAGGCUUGAGUGCAGAAGAGGAGAGCGGAAUUCCACGUGUAGCGGUGAAAUGCGUAGAGAUGUGGAGGAACACCAGUGGCGAAGGCGGCUCUCUGGUCUGUAACUGACGCUGAGGCGCGAAAGCGUGGGGAGCGAACAGGAUUAGAUACCCUGGUAGUCCACGCCGUAAACGAUGAGUGCUAAGUGUUGGAGGGUUUCCGCCCUUCAGUGCUGCAGCUAACGCAUUAAGCACUCCGCCUGGGGAGUACGGCCGCAAGGCUGAAACUCAAAGGAAUUGACGGGGGCCCGCACAAGCGGUGGAGCAUGUGGUUUAAUUCGAAGCAACGCGAAGAACCUUACCAGGUCUUGACAUCCCUCUGACCGGUCUGGAGACAGAUCUUUCCCUUCGGGGACAGCGGUGACAGGUGGUGCAUGGUUGUCGUCAGCUCGUGUCGUGAGAUGUUGGGNUAAGUCCCGCAACGAGCGCAACCCCUGA